GCUGGGUAUACAGAUCAGUUGGUAGAGUGCUUGCCUAGCAUGCACAAGGCCCUGGGUUCAAUCCCCAGCACCCCA
Molecule: transfer RNA, 75 nt
Filed under: Marmota monax (woodchuck)
Lineage: Eukaryota; Metazoa; Chordata; Mammalia; Rodentia; Sciuridae
Description: tRNA.Ala
Source: RNAcentral